Long non-coding RNA from Nematostella vectensis (starlet sea anemone), 329 nucleotides. RefSeq lists it as uncharacterized. The record is from RefSeq and is a predicted model, not a curated record. Lineage: Eukaryota; Metazoa; Cnidaria; Anthozoa; Actiniaria; Edwardsiidae. The transcript has 2 exons.
UCACCAGGGCCCGUAAAAGCAAAAUGUACCGGGCGUCCCUCGCUUUAGUGGCCGAGAGGGGCUUGGGCCCAAGGCGCAAAAUCAUAACGGUCGAACGAAAGCCAUUAUCACAGCCUCCAAACGGAUAGCCGUUUAUUCCCGUCUUUUCUACGCGUAAUUCACCUUUUUUAAGGAUUUGAUGGCAGAAAAUGGAUUGAAGUAAAAGGACAUUAUGAUAGAGAUAGUAAAAUGUGCUCGAGUUGCAAAGCCAGAAAAGAAAGAAGUUGGAGGUAUAAGGAAUGUAUCAAUGCGUAAAUCGCAAGAAACGAAUAAAAACUUCGUAAACUUAA